This 359-nucleotide ribosomal RNA is filed under the name uncultured Enterobacteriaceae bacterium. RNAcentral's name for it is "bacterial SSU rRNA". It matches the Rfam family "Bacterial small subunit ribosomal RNA", at positions 1021 to 1374 of the family's 1533-position model. The record is from RNAcentral. Lineage: Bacteria; Pseudomonadati; Pseudomonadota; Gammaproteobacteria; Enterobacterales; Enterobacteriaceae.
CGGUACAUCGGUGACAGGUGGUGCAUGGCUGUCGUCAGCUCGUGUUGUGAAAUGUUGGGUUAAGUCCCGCAACGAGCGCAACCCUUAUCCUUUGUUGCCAGCGGUCCGGCCGGGAACUCAAAGGAGACUGCCAGUGAUAAACUGGAGGAAGGUGGGAUGACGUCAAGUCAUCAUGGCCCUUACGACCAGGGCUACACACGUGCUACAAUGGCGCAUACAAAGAGAAGCGACCUCGCGAGAGCAAGCGGACCUCAUAAAGUGCGUCGUAGUCCGGAUUGGAGUCUGCAACUCGACUCCAUGAAGUCGGAAUCGCUAGUAAUCGUGGAUCAGAAUGCCACGGUCGAAUACGUUCCGGCCUU